CCUACGGGAGGCAGCAGUGGGGAAUAUUGCGCAAUGGGCGAAAGCCUGACGCAGCGACGCAGCGUGAGGGAUGAAGGUCUUCGGAUCGUAAACCUCUGUCAGCAGGGAAGAACCGUCACUGUUCUAAUCAGCAGUGAAUUGACGGUACCUGCAAAGGAAGCACCGGCUAACUCCGUGCCAGCAGCCGCGGUAAUACGGAGGUUGCGAGCGUUCAUCGGAAUUACUGGGCGUAAAGCGCUCGUAGGCGGUAUGUCAAGUCAAGGGUGAAAUCCCCGCGCUCAACGUUGGAAUUGCCUUUGAAACUGGCAAACGUGAGUGCGUGAGAGGAUAGUGGAAUUCCAGGUGUAGGAGUGAAAUCCGUAGAUAUCUGGAGGAACAUCAGUGGCGAAGGCGACUAGCUGGAACGUAACUGACGCUGAGGAGCGAAAGCGUGGGUAGCAAACAGGAUUAGAUACCCUGGUAGUC
Molecule: ribosomal RNA, 465 nt
Filed under: uncultured bacterium
Lineage: Bacteria
Description: partial 16S ribosomal RNA
Rfam family: Bacterial small subunit ribosomal RNA
Source: RNAcentral